RNAcentral lists this ribosomal RNA (460 nucleotides) under uncultured bacterium. RNAcentral's name for it is "partial 16S ribosomal RNA". It matches the Rfam family "Bacterial small subunit ribosomal RNA", at positions 338 to 795 of the family's 1533-position model. The record is from RNAcentral.
CCUACGGGAGGCAGCAGUGAGGAAUAUUGGACAAUGGACGGAAGUCUGAACCAGCGAUGCCGCGUGCAGGAAGACGGCUCUAUGAGUUGUAAACUGCUUUUGUACAGAGGUAAACCUGAAUACGUGUAUUCAGCUGACAGUCCUGUACGAAUAAGGAUCGGCUAACUAUGGGCCAGCAGCCGCGGUAAUACGGAGGAUCCAAGCGUUAGCCGGAUUUAUUGGGGUUAAAGGGUGCGUAGGCGGAUUGAUAAGUUAGAGGUGAAAUGUGCGAGCUCAACUCGGGAACUGCCUCUAAUACUGUUGAGCUAGAGAGUAGAUGCGGUAGGCGGAAUGUAUGGUGUAGCGGUGAAAUGCUUAGAGAUCAUACAGAACACCGAUUGCGAAGGCAGCUUACCAAUCUAUAUCUGACGUUGAGGCACGAAAGCGUGGGGAGCAAACAGGAUUAGAUACCCGAGUAGUC